ACACAGUCAGAUUUCUAGCUCAGGCUGAUUUCCCAGAGUGGAGACAGGACUCUCAGAACAAUGAAGAAAGUAAUGCUGUUGCCCAGAGUGAACAUCGCUGCUCCCCCAGGACCCACCCUACCGUGAGUGGGCUCCUCCACUGCCCCUGUGCUGAGCAGGAUUCCUUAAACAAGGGCCUCAGUCCCAGAUUCCUGAAGACAGCCUGGUGUGCCUGGGGACAGGGAGGAUCCAGGAAAGCAGGAGGAGGAGCCUCUGAGACAGCCGAGCCAGAGGCAGAGGCUGGGUUCCAGUAUCAGUGCCGGCCGGAGCUGAGCGGGGGAGCGUGCUUUGAGAUGACAAGGAGCUGGCCGAGACCGGAGGCUUCCCGCCCCGAGCCGGAGCCAGGAGUCCCCCAGAGGCGCAGCUGAGGAUGCCCGCACCUGCGGAGAGUCGGGACAGGAGCCCUCUUCCCCAGACGGGCGGCCCACGCACGGAGCUGCCUCCGCUCCAAGCCCGGUGGCCGCGGCCACGUCCACGCAUCCGCUCGGAGAGCCGUU
RNAcentral lists this long non-coding RNA (536 nucleotides) under Equus caballus (horse). RNAcentral describes it as "lncRNA (ENSECAG00000056660.1)". Lineage: Eukaryota; Metazoa; Chordata; Mammalia; Perissodactyla; Equidae. The record is from RNAcentral.